UACGAAGGGGGCUAGCGUUGUUCGGAAUUACUGGGCGUAAAGCGCGCGCAGGCGGUCCUUUAAGUCAGGGGUGAAAGCCCAGAGCUCAACUCUGGAACUGCCUUUGAAACUAGAGGACUUGGGUACGGGAGAGGUGAGUGGAAUUCCGAGUGUAGAGGUGAAAUUCGUAGAUAUCUGGAGGAACACCGGUGGCGAAGGCGGCAUCCUGGACCAAUUCUGACACUGAGGAGCGAAAGCCAGGGGAGCAAACGGG
This 253-nucleotide ribosomal RNA is filed under the name uncultured bacterium. Its description in RNAcentral is "partial 16S ribosomal RNA". It matches the Rfam family "Bacterial small subunit ribosomal RNA", at positions 524 to 776 of the family's 1533-position model. The record is from RNAcentral.